UACGUAGGGGGCAAGCGUUGUCCGGAUUUAUUGGGCGUAAAGAGCGUGUAGGCGGCCAGGUAGGUCUGCUGUGAAAACUCGAGGCUUAACCUCGAGCUGUCGGCGGAAACCAUCUGGCUAGAGUCCGGAAGAGGAGAAUGGAAUUCCCGGUGUGAGCGGUGAAAUGCGCAGAUAUCGGGAAGAACACCCGUGGCGAAGGCGGUUCUCUGGGACGGACUGACGCUGAGACGCGAAAGCGUGGGAGCGAACAGGAUUAGAAACCCGAG
This 266-nucleotide ribosomal RNA is filed under the name uncultured bacterium. Its description in RNAcentral is "partial 16S ribosomal RNA". It matches the Rfam family "Bacterial small subunit ribosomal RNA", at positions 524 to 790 of the family's 1533-position model. The record is from RNAcentral.